This is a long non-coding RNA of Cydia splendana, 372 nucleotides long. RefSeq lists it as uncharacterized. The transcript is spliced from 2 exons. The record is from RefSeq and is a predicted model, not a curated record. NCBI's taxonomy places the organism in Eukaryota, Metazoa, Arthropoda, Insecta, Lepidoptera, Tortricidae.
GUUAGUUUAAGAAGAUAAUUAGGUUUCUUUUAAGGAGUAAUAAAGCAGCUUUGUGUCUUAGAUCAUUUGUUUUGCUUUCUUUAACGCCAAGUAUCCGAAAUUAAGAAUUACACCCAAGUCUACAGAAUCAUCAAUCUACUCAAUCUUCAUACUGUUGCGUUGAAUCACGUCGCCAAUACAAUACACGAUCGAGGUGAAAUGCGACUAAAGUAAUAAACGAUUGAGUCAUAACGCGAACGUUAAAUGCACGAUCGAGGUGAAAUGCGACUAAAACUUAUAGCCACUAGAAAAAAAAACUAUUGAGACACAAUGCGAAAAUUAAAUAUGAGAUCGAGGUGAAAUGCGAUUCGGUGAAUUACUACAUCAAUUUUA